UACGGAGGGUGCAAGCGCUAUCCGGAUUCACUGGGUUUAAAGGGUGCGUAGGUGGGUAUGUAAGUCAGUGGUGAAAUCCCCGAGCUUAACUUGGGAACUGCCGUUGAUACUAUAUAUCUUGAAUAUCGCGUAGGUAAGCGGAAUAUGUCAUGUAGCGGUGAAAUGCUUAGAUAGGACAUAGAACACCAAUUGCGAAGGCAGCUUACUUCACGAUUAUUGACACUGAGGCACGAAAGCGUGGGGAGCAAACAGG
Molecule: ribosomal RNA, 253 nt
Filed under: uncultured bacterium
Lineage: Bacteria
Description: partial 16S ribosomal RNA
Rfam family: Bacterial small subunit ribosomal RNA
Source: RNAcentral